GACGAACGCUGGCGGCGUGCCUAAUACAUGCCAGUAGAACGCUGAAGGAGGAGCUUGCUUCUCUGGAUGAGUUGCGAACGGGUGAGUAACGCGUAGGUAACCUGCCUGGUAGCGGGGGAUAACUAUUGGAAACGAUAGCUAAUACCGCAUAAUAGUAGAUGUUGCAUGACAUUUACUUAAAAGGUGCAAUUGCAUCACUACCAGAUGGACCUGCGUUGUAUUAGCUAGUUGGUGGGGUAACGGCUCACCAAGGCGACGAUACAUAGCCGACCUGAGAGGGUGAUCGGCCACACUGGGACUGAGACACGGCCCAGACUCCUACGGGAGGCAGCAGUAGGGAAUCUUCGGCAAUGGACGAAAGUCUGACCGAGCAACGCCGCGUGAGUGAAGAAGGUUUUCGGAUCGUAAAGCUCUGUUGUAAGAGAAGAACGAGUGUGAGAGUGGAAAGUUCACACUGUGACGGUAUCUUACCAGAAAGGGACGGCUAACUACGUG
This 495-nucleotide ribosomal RNA is filed under the name uncultured bacterium. RNAcentral's name for it is "partial 16S ribosomal RNA". It matches the Rfam family "Bacterial small subunit ribosomal RNA", at positions 28 to 507 of the family's 1533-position model. The record is from RNAcentral.